AUUUUUUUAGUAGGAUAUAUCUAAAAAUUGAAACAGUAUAGAGAUUAGCAUGGACCAUAGCCAAGAAUGAAAUGCAAAUUCAUAAAGCAUUUGAUAUUUUC
Molecule: small nuclear RNA, 101 nt
Organism: Tupaia belangeri (northern tree shrew)
Lineage: Eukaryota; Metazoa; Chordata; Mammalia; Scandentia; Tupaiidae
Source: Ensembl